This 34-nucleotide non-coding RNA is filed under the name Trypanosoma brucei brucei. The record is from RNAcentral. Lineage: Eukaryota; Euglenozoa; Kinetoplastea; Trypanosomatida; Trypanosomatidae.
CGGCAAAUAAGCUCAGUGAGUAUAAGAAUAUAUU